CUUAGACCCAUGUGUCUAGGACUUCAAAAGAUCACCAUUAAAUUUGGUACAAAUCUCUAGAAAAGUUAUUACAUGGGUGUAGGACUUGACUUUUCUAGUGAUUUGUGCCAAAUUUAAUGGUGAUCCUUUGGGGUCCUAUUCACAUGGGUGUGGA
RNAcentral lists this microRNA precursor (154 nucleotides) under Amborella trichopoda. Its description in RNAcentral is "MIR8565 microRNA precursor family". It matches the Rfam family "MIR8565 microRNA precursor family". Lineage: Eukaryota; Viridiplantae; Streptophyta; Magnoliopsida; Amborellales; Amborellaceae. The record is from Rfam by way of RNAcentral.